GAUGAACGCUAGCGGCAGGCCUAACACAUGCAAGUCGAGGGGUAUUUGGAGCUUGCUCCAAAGAGACCGGCGCACGGGUGCGUAACGCGUAUGCAAUCUACCUUGUACUGAGGGAUAGCCCGGAGAAAUCCGGAUUAAUACCUCAUGGUUAAUUUAGUUGGCAUCGAUUGAAUUAUAAAGAUUUAUCGGUACAAGAUGAGCAUGCGUCCCAUUAGCUAGUUGGUAUGGUAACGGCAUACCAAGGCGAUGAUGGGUAGGGGUCCUGAGAGGGAGAUCCCCCACACUGGUACUGAGACACGGACCAGACUCCUACGGGAGGCAGCAGUGAGGAAUAUUGGUCAAUGGACGGAAGUCUGAACCAGCCAUGCCGCGUGCAGGAAGACGGCCCUAUGGGUUGUAAACUGCUUUUAUACGGGAAGAAACCUCUCUACGUGUAGAGACUUGACGGUACCGUAAGAAUAAGGAUCGGCUAACUCCGUGCCAGCAGCCGCGGUAAUACGGAGGAUUCGAGCGUUAUCCGGAAUCAUUGGGUUUAAAGGGUCCGUAGGCGGGUUAGUAAGUCAGGGGUGAAAGUUUUCGGCUUAACCGAAAAAUUGCCUUUGAUACUGCUAGUCUUGAAUAUUUGUGAAGUAACUAGAAUAUGUGGCGUAGCGGUGAAAUGCAUAGAUAUCACAUGGAAUACCGAUUGCGAAGGCAGGUUACUAACAGAUCAUUGACGCUGAUGGACGAAAGCGUGGGUAGCGAACAGGAUUAGAUACCCUGGUAGUCCACGCCGUAAACGAUGGAUACUAGCUGUUUGGACAGAUUGAUGUUUGAGUGGCUAAGCGAAAGUGAUAAGUAUCCCACCUGGGGAGUACGUUCGCAAGAAUGA
This 871-nucleotide ribosomal RNA is filed under the name uncultured compost bacterium. RNAcentral's name for it is "bacterial SSU rRNA". It matches the Rfam family "Bacterial small subunit ribosomal RNA", at positions 28 to 897 of the family's 1533-position model. The record is from RNAcentral.